Molecule: ribosomal RNA, 253 nt
Filed under: uncultured bacterium
Lineage: Bacteria
Description: partial 16S ribosomal RNA
Rfam family: Bacterial small subunit ribosomal RNA
Source: RNAcentral
UACGUAGGGUGCAAGCGUUGUCCGGAAUUAUUGGGCGUAAAGAGCUCGUAGGCGGUCUGUCACGUCGGCUGUGAAAUCCCGAGGCUCAACCUCGAGACGUCGGUUGAAACCAUCUGGCUAGAGUCCGGAAGAGGAGUGUGGAAUUCCCGGUGUAGCGGUGAAAUGCGCAGAUAUCGGGAAGAACACCCGUGGCGAAGGCAGCUCGCUGGGACGGUACUGACGCUGAGACGCGAAAGCGUGGGGAGCAAACAGG